GUCUUUUAGAAAUAUUUAUUAAAAGUUUAACCUGCCCAUUGAUUUAUUAAAAGGCUGCGGUAUUUUGACCGUACAAAGGUAGCAUAAUCAAUAGUUUUUUAAUUGAAAACUAGAAUGAAUGGUUGAAUGAAAUAUUAACUGUUUUAAUUAAAAUCUUAGAAUUUUACUUUUAAAUUAAAAGGUUUAAAUAUAUUUAAAAGACGAGAAGACCCUAUAGAGUUUAAUAUUUAUUUAUUUUUAAUAUAUUAGGUUUAAUUUAUAUUAUAUAUAAAUUAAAUAUUUUGUUGGGGUGAUAGUAAAAUUUUAUGAACUUUUAUUUUUAAAACCAUUGAUAUAUGAAUUUUAGAUCCAUUAUUAAUGAUUAUAAGUUUAAAUUACCUUAGGGAUAACAGCGUAAUUUUUUUUUAAGUUCAUAUUAAUAAAAAAGUUUGCGACCUCGAUGUUGGAUUAAGAUUAAUUUUAGGCGCAGAAGUUUAAAAUUUAAGUCUGUUCGACUUUUAAAUUCUU
Molecule: ribosomal RNA, 507 nt
Filed under: Leptosciarella (Leptosciarella) sp. 1 SS-2012
Lineage: Eukaryota; Metazoa; Arthropoda; Insecta; Diptera; Sciaridae
Description: partial 16S ribosomal RNA
Source: RNAcentral